AUUGAACGCUGGCGGCAGGCCUAACACAUGCAAGUCGAGCGAGCGGCGGACGGGUGAGAAAGGUCUGGGAAACUGCCUGAUGGAGGGGGAUAACUACUGGAAACGGUAGCUAAUACCGCAUACUAGCAGAUGAGCCUAGGUCGGAUUAGCUAGUAGGUGGGGGAAUGGCGCACCUAGGCGACGAUCCCUCGCUGGUCUGAGCGGAUGACCAGCCACACUGGAACCGAGACACGGUCCAGACUCCUACGGGAGGCAGCAGUUGGGAAUAUUGCACAAUGGGCGCAAGCCUGAUGCAGCCCUGCCGCGUGUGUGAAUAAGGCCUUCGGGUUGUAAAGCACUUUCAGCGGGGAGGCGUUACCCGCAGAAGAAGCACCGGCUAACUCCGUGCCAGCAGCCGCGGUAAUAC
This 406-nucleotide ribosomal RNA is filed under the name uncultured bacterium. Its description in RNAcentral is "partial 16S ribosomal RNA". It matches the Rfam family "Bacterial small subunit ribosomal RNA", at positions 29 to 526 of the family's 1533-position model. The record is from RNAcentral.